UUUCCGUAGGUGAACCUGCGGAAGGAUCAUUACCGAGUGAGGGUCUCUCAGGCCCGACCUCCCACCCUGUUGUUUUGUGACCUUGUUGCUUUUGCUGGCCCGCCUCGAUGAAAGGCCGCCGGAAGAUCACAACUUUGGACACGUUCCAGCAACUAGCCCCCUUAAAUUCUUAAUAAACCUGUAGUCAGCGGUAAGGGAGAUAAUGAAACAAAACUUUCAACAACGGACAUCUUUGUUUAUGCCUCGAUGAAGAACACAAAAGAAAGGAAAAGCACACGU
Molecule: unclassified non-coding RNA, 279 nt
Filed under: plant metagenome
Description: partial contains small subunit ribosomal RNA, internal transcribed spacer 1, and 5.8S ribosomal RNA
Source: RNAcentral